UUUGACACCCCUGAUCUAUGGAUUCCAUACUUAAAAAUACUUUAAAAAAAUAAAAUAAAAGAAUUGCAUUUUGCUCCUGUUCACCAGGAUUGCUUCAUUCAAGCUUUACCGUGAUUUCGCAAGGGUGUCAAAUGGUGGCCCGUGGGCCAAUGCGUCAUCCACAGACCACGUCCACCCCAACUCCACAAAGGGAAAAACAUAGCAAAACAUCACACGAGAGCAACAUGACACCGCCAAUUUGAUAACCGGUGCUUUAACGGAAUAUCAGUGACCUGGGGGAAGAGGGGAAGAGGCAAGAGCUCCCAAUGGCUUAUUGGGCAGGGAAAGAAACUUAGGAUCUGCCCUAUCAGGCAGUUAAGUGGUGGCUGGAAGUUCGCACCUUGAGACAUCAUUGCUUGCCAAGAAUUAAACACAGGAUACCAUUUUCUGUUGCUCAGCACAUCUUUGUUGCAUGUAGUUUCACCCCUAUUAAAAUGCUACGAGUGGUUGUACAUUUAUCCUUGAGAACCUCUGCUUAUGCUACAAAUAAUACCCAGGGCAUCUUUGAAACAUCUCACUUUUUAUUCAGAAAACAUAUCCCUAACAUUGUGAAGGCAUUGAAGUGUGAGGAUAGUCUAUCUUGUUUUAUGGCCAUUCAGCAAGAUAUGUAAAAUGUAGCUGACCUGGCUGGUGAACACAAACAUAUUCUGUGCUAGCAACUCCUGGAAUGUCCCAUUAUGUUAUAAUCCUACACAAGAAUUAUUGCCUCCUGCUGGACAGUUCUAACAUAUCAUCCAUCUAUUUAUUUUUCUCUCUGUAAAACUGCAACAGAGGGCUUAACGACAAGUUCCAUGAAAAGAUGAAUGUAAGUCAUCCAGCAAAGCACACGUUUUCAAAAUAAUCAACAACUGCAAGAAUCCGUUAUUUAUUGAAGUGAAAACCGCAGAAUGAAUCAUUCACAUUUUCUCACGUCCUCCAAUAUGGUGGGUAACUUUCAGAAUGUACGUUUAGAUGUCCAAUAUGAGACCUCACACAUCUGGAAGAUAUAAGAGUUGGGAAGACUGGACUAAGACUGGUAUCAAGAGGAGUUUCAGUCCGCUUUGAAAAUGCUGAACCUAGCCGAUACAUGUGCUCUGUUCAUUUUUAUUUUCAUUCCUAUAAAAAUGUAAUCUCAUUUUUU
Pseudonaja textilis is the source of this 1159-nucleotide non-coding RNA. The record is from RefSeq and is a predicted model, not a curated record. NCBI's taxonomy places the organism in Eukaryota, Metazoa, Chordata, Lepidosauria, Squamata, Elapidae.